AUCGUUUUCAAAAGAGACUCGAAUGGCUUUCUCGUUCGCGUGAAUUAAAAUAAUAAGACUUGAAAAUAAAAAUUAAUAAAUUGGAUUUGAGAACAAAAAUACUAACAUGCAAAAUAAAGUUGAUUCAAUUGACAAAAGAAAACAAUGGAUGAAUGNAUGUUGUUGGGGGUUUACAAUUUCAUCUAAUCCGCUCUCUCUUACCUACUUCUCUUGAAUAUUAGUUUGAUUAAUUAAUUGUUAUGCGACUUUCUUAGCCUCCCAUUAACCCGAUCCCUCGGCGACAAGAGCCUAAUAUUAACUAUUGGCUUGUUAUCCCUAGCCUCCCCUAGCAAUUAAUACCGCAUUAUAAAAUGAAGUUAGUGCAAUUGAUCAUCCUACCCUUAUCCCUAGGUGGUAUUGCAAAAUCAAGAAAUUACUCACCAGUUCAUGUCAUUACUGUACGUCCCCAUAUCAAUAAAGACAAACAUCAGUUACCGAAUGAGUUAAACGAUAAAGGCCUUAAGCACAGAUGAUAACCCAACAAUUAUCAAUCAAAACAUAUGGAGACCAUAUAAAUAAUCAAGAAUUUCAAUAAAAGAGAGUAUUAAAAGAUUACAUUGUUUCCCCC
RNAcentral lists this long non-coding RNA (607 nucleotides) under Vigna radiata. RNAcentral describes it as "long non-coding RNA (VRAD_LNC014400)". Lineage: Eukaryota; Viridiplantae; Streptophyta; Magnoliopsida; Fabales; Fabaceae. The record is from RNAcentral.